GAUGAACGCUAGCUACAGGCUUAACACAUGCAAGUCGCGGAGCAGCAUGGGGGUUGCUUGCAAUCCCCGAUGGCGACCGGCGCACGGGUGAGUAACGCGUAUCCAACCUGCCCUUCACCACGGGAUAACCCGGCGAAAGUCGGACUAAUACCGUAUGUUGUCCAUUGACGGCAUCCGAUUUGGACGAAAGGUUUGGCGGUGAAGGAUGGGGAUGCGUCCGAUUAGCUGGACGGCGGGGUGACGGCCCACCGGGGCGACGAUCGGUAGGGGUUCUGAGAGGGAGGUCCCCCACACUGGAACUGAGACACGGUCCAGACUCCUACGGGAGGCAGCAGUGAGGAAUAUUGGUCAAUGGGCGUAAGCCUGAACCAGCCAAGUAGCGUGCAGGAUGACGGCCCUAUGGGUUGUAAACUGCUUUUAUGCGGGGAUAAAGUGGCCCACGUGUGGGUUUUUGCAGGUACCGCAUGAAUAAGGACCGGCUAAUUCCGUG
Molecule: ribosomal RNA, 490 nt
Filed under: uncultured bacterium
Lineage: Bacteria
Description: partial 16S ribosomal RNA
Rfam family: Bacterial small subunit ribosomal RNA
Source: RNAcentral